GACCCACCGACGGCGACUAAUUGAAAACCAUACAUAUCUGGCCUCCUAAUAAGCGCGCUAGCUAGCUAGCUACCAUUCGUCGUCGUCCAUGGCCGCGGUGCGCUUCAGCUCCGACGACCUCCGAUCGAUCAUCCUACUCUCAGGGCAGCACGCCGGCCGGCUGCCCGGCCGUGUCGUGCUCCCGCUCGGCACCGCCCGCACAUGGUGCCAUGGUGGCAUGCAUCAUAGACAGUGUAUUGGCCGGUUUUCUAGGAGACAUAUGCUCCGUACAAGUGUUGUUACCUGAUCACAUCCUCAUAAACCGGCUUAUGCAUAAUCAAAAAAGGUUCAGGAUGAUCAGUUAUGAUCAUAGAUGGAGCUUUUAGCAAACAGAGAUCGCCCCACCAGUAAGUAUUUUGCAGGUGAGCAACAGUGGCAUCGGUGGCACCGUGGCAGUAGUGCCCUUGCUGUAUAUUGGUAAUGUAACCUAAUUAACUGAACUAUGAGUUUUUUUCUUAUCCAGUUCUUUUCGUUUAGUGCCAUUUUUAAGCAUGCAAACUAUGACUAUAUACUCCAUAUUUAUGGUACUGGUAGUUGAACCUAUACCCUAGUUGUCAGGUUGCACUAUAGUAGUAUCAGUGGUGGAGGGAGGAUGGAGAAGAAGGGGGCUGAAUCAAUGAAGUUGUUAAUUUGUAUAAAGUUUUAAUGGUGAUUUAAUAUUUUGCUACAGUAAUUUUAGUGUAAUUAUUUGCUUUAGGGGGGCUGGAGCCCCCAGCCCCACUGUGCAUCUGCCGCUGAGUAGUAUAUAUGGAUGUCGUAUAGCUAGCUGGAUUUCGAGCGAGAGGCAGCAUUAUUGUAGAUUUGUAGUGACUUAUUAUUGCUCGUGAUUUGGUGGUGGUGGAUGUAAAAGUCGAUCUUAUUAUUGGAUAAAAAUGUUGAAAAGUACGUACUCCUAUCCAUUCACAGCAUGCCAACAAGUACGAGAAUCAGUCUAGCACGCACAGGCGCACAACAUGCCAACUACCAAGUACUUCACAGCAGCUACUAGCUCUCGCGAUUGUAUGUGGCAGCAGAUAGAGAGGGGUGCAUGCAGACGUGUACGGUGUACCGCUGUGCCAGACCAAACCGUUUCACUGCUGGCUUGACAUGCAGAUGGAUGUGAUAACGCCUGGCCGGCUCCAUUUUGCAAUGCUUCACCGAUCACCAUAUAUACCUUGUAUAAAUAGGAAAUUACUAAGCAAAGUUGCAUAUAUGCUUCUUAAAUUCUCUCUGCUUCCUUGCCGGCCAUGUCAUGCAUGGUCGUCUUUAAUUUGCUCGUCAUCGGCAUGAUCCUCCCUCAGCUAAUCUUUUAUUGUGCAUGUGAUUAUUAGGUCAAUCUCAAUGAGAGUGUUAUGGGAGUGAGUAUUAAAUUUGCUGACAUUACAGAAGAGAGAGAAGGAAAAGUGACAUGGGAUGUGAGUGGAGUGUCUUCACCAUGACACUACUUCGGCUGGGUUACUUAGUUCACAGUCUUAGCAACUGUGCGAUGACAGUACUCCCCACUGAUACUGACCUUAUGAGAGUGUGCAUGCUUAUGUUAAUUUGGCUAGCACUAGUAGCUUUGUUUGGAUCAUUAUAUUCCCAUGUAUAUCUACUCUCUCCAUUUUUAUUUACAUGUCGUAUUAGUUUUUGCUUAAUAAAUCAAACUUGACAAACUUUGACCAAGUCUAUAGAAAAGUAUAGCAACAAUACUAUCAACAUAUACUUUGAAUUCGUGGUGGAUUCAAUGAAACAAACUUUAUAUUAUAACUCUUAUUAUUUCUUUUCUAUAAGUUUAGUCAAAGCUUGCAAAAUUUAACUUAAGAUAAACCUAAUACGACAUGUAAAUAAAAACAGAGAGGGACUAUGUUGAUAAACGAAUGACCUGGAGCCGAUAAUAGCCCGUCAACUAAAAAUAUAAGUGUACUUCUAGCCACCAAGAUGUCCAACUACUUAUUAUGAAACGAUAUAUUAUUUAAGUUAGACAUCUCAUUCCACAUUUCCUAAACCGAUUGAUCUUUUUUUCUUGUGCCUUUUACUUUUCAUUUUUGACAGAUUGAUGGAGCCAAUCACAUAUAUGUAUCUACACGAUGAUGCGUGCUGCGUUUCAAAGCUGCCAUUGCAGACGGGUCAUCAUCAUACGAAUGGGGCCCAAUAUGCAAGCAUACAGAAUGGAAUGGAAACGACCGGCCGGCCGGUUCGCUGCUGCCCUUGCCUCACUCCACCUCCGGCUCCGCCAGGUGGAAGGGGGCGCAACAGCUGGCAAGAUGAACCCUGUCCAGAAGAAGUGGCUCGCGUACUGGCUCUUGGUGCUUGCUGCUUCUGUCAUCUUUCUGGACAACCAUAUCGACGCUGCCUCCAAGGACCAACUGUUCCCUCCAGAGCUUCCCAUGUUCGUCGUGUUCCUGUGUGCAAUCUGCCUCAUUCUUCGCGCCAUGAUGCAGAGAUGACGGGAGAGUACAUCGAUUGCGUCCAUGCCCGCGCAUGUUGCUCUGCGACAUGCGCGAUCGAAUGGUUUCAGCUUAGUUAUUAUAUCACACGAAUGAACAAAUCUGUGUUUGUAAUAAUUCCAGGAUAUGUUGGACCACCGAUCGAGAAUGCCCAGAGCACCUGGCUCAGUCUUUUGGUUGUGAAUUUGCAUUGCUUGUAUACACAUUUCCGGCAUGGGCGGUAUGCCGUUUAGUAUUUGGCAAGAUCGUGUUUACUCCUAAA
Molecule: long non-coding RNA, 2709 nt
Organism: Panicum virgatum (switchgrass)
Lineage: Eukaryota; Viridiplantae; Streptophyta; Magnoliopsida; Poales; Poaceae
Exons: 3
Source: RefSeq, a predicted model, not a curated record